This 2091-nucleotide unclassified non-coding RNA is filed under the name Ooceraea biroi (clonal raider ant). RNAcentral's name for it is "dnaJ homolog subfamily C member 11, transcript variant X2". Lineage: Eukaryota; Metazoa; Arthropoda; Insecta; Hymenoptera; Formicidae. The record is from RNAcentral.
AUGGACGAAGAGAGUGAUCAGGAGAACACGAUCGAGGACGAUUACUACACCUUCCUCAAUAUUGCGAGAAAUGCCAGUCCUGAAGACAUCAGCAAUGCAUACCGCAGACAAAGUAGGUUGUAUCAUCCUGACAAGCAUACGGAUCCAGUACUUAAAAAAGAGGCGGAAAUUCUUUUCAAUCGUACAAAAAAAGCAUACGAAGUAUUAAGCGAUCCACAUCAAAGAGCAAUUUACGAUUCGCUGGGGAUCCGUGGUUUAGAGACAGAGGGAUGGGAAAUCGUACAUCGUACAAAGACACCUCAGGAAAUUCGUGAGGAAUAUGAAAGAUUGGCAAGAGAGCGAGAGGAGAGACGUUUACAGCAGCAAACCAAUCCCAAAGGCACUGUAACGGUAAACAUCAAUGCCACUGAUAUUUUCAGUAAAUAUGACGAAGAUUACAGUGAUAGCAGUGGAUUAUUUUCAUGCAUCGAGGUCAGCGGGAUGUCGUUUGCGCAGUCUAUUGAAGCACCUCUUACUCUAAGGGACACCGUGACCAUGUCUGGACAACUCGGAACCCAAAAUGGCACAGGUUCCGGGUCCGUUAGUGUUUCGAUGAAACGAUUGAUAUCGUCGAAAGGUUGGUUCGAGGUCGAGGUCGGUGCCGGCAAUGGCCCAACGUUUUCUCUUAAGGGCUUUCGCACGUUGACGAAGAGGCUGUUCUGCGACGGCGCAACAAUAUUGCAAUUUACGCCGCGCGGGGUGAAAGCUGGUUAUGUAGGAACUCUGGCAAUGCAACUGGAUAAGCACACAGUGGGAUACCUUACGUACAGAGCUGGUAUUCAAGGUGCCAUGAGCACUAUGAUCGUGAGAGACACGUCUCGAUCGUACACGGCGCUCUCCGUACACUUUGGGUUGCUGCAUUCGUUCGUCAGCCUUAAUUAUACCUAUAAGAUGGAGGAGAAGCAACUGAAACUUCGCGGGAGCGUCAAAGCUGGCACGUUUGGCGCGUUCCUCGAGUAUGGCGCGGAGAAGAAAGUCUCCGAGCACAGUUCGGUUUCGGCGGCCGUGCGGAUCGGCACGCCGACCGGCGUGACACUAAAGAUCAGGUUGAAUCGCGCUUCGCAAGCGUACUCCUUCCCGAUCCACUUGUGCGAUGAAGUGCUUCCAGCUCCCGUCUUUUACGCCACGGUAGCUCCUAUAAUUACUUGGGCGGUCAUUAAAAAGCUCGUGAUCGAUCCUGUCGUGAGGGAACGAAAAGAACGUGAGAAGGAGAAACAACGCGAACUGAACAAGUCCAGAAUAAUGGAGAAACAGAGAGAAGCCAAAGCCGCGACCGAACUGAUGAAAGAGACUGUUAGUAGGAUAAGAGCGGAAGAAGAAUCCAAGAAGGGACUGAUCAUCACCAAAGCUUUGUACGGUCGAUUCGUUUAUCCUCAGCAAGACAGAGGCACGGAGGAGAGCGGACACAGAGAUGAGAUGAUAGACGUGACGAUUCCUUUGCAAUGUUUGGUCAAGGAUUCCAAAUUGAUUCUUCAUAAGGCAUCUAAGAGUCAGCUACCUGGAUUUUACGAUCCAUGCGUGGGAGAAGACAAACAACUCUUGGUGCAGUAUCUCUUCCAUACCCAAACGCACGAAUGUCUUAUACAGGAUGAUGCAGCUCUCAGGAUACCCGUCUCUUCACAUAAAGUGAACACCACCUGACAGAUGCGCUCGACGUCGAAGUCAAAACGCAGUCGUCGCGGUCCUCGUCAGUGAUCAACAUCGGCUCAGCGCAGAUUACUUCUAGAGGUUUAAUUUUACAUAGGUGGCAAAAAAUUCCAUGCAAGGAUGCAUCAUGGAUGAAGAUACCAAGCAGCUUUAUAGUUAUACAUAUAUAGAACUGAUAAAUGUGUAUGUAUACAUAUAUGCACACAUAUGUUACUAAAUAUAGAGACAAACAUUUGUUAAUCGAUUGCACAGAGCCGAUUACCAGUGGGAUAAGUGUUAGUGUAUUACAAUACAAUUUACUUGUACAAAAUAGACACCGUUGUGAAGGUUCGUAAGAUGCAUGUAUUAAAUUAUAUGCAUAAUACUUGGCUCAUGAAUAUAAUUAAUAACAAUAGCAAACAAGUA